AGUUUGAUCAUGGCUCAGAUUGAACGCUGGCGGCAGGCUUAACACAUGCAAGUCGAACGGUAACAGAACUAGCUUGCUAGUUGCUGACGAGUGGCGGACGGGUGAGUAACGCGUAGGAAUCUACCGAGUAGUGGGGGACAACAGUUGGAAACGACUGCUAAUACCGCAUAAUCCCUGAGGGGGAAAGGAGGGGAUCUGUUUACAGACCUUUCGCUAUUUGAUGAGCCUGCGUGAGAUUAGCUAGUUGGUGAGGUAAUGGCUCACCAAGGCGACGAUCUCUAGCUGGUCUGAGAGGAUGAUCAGCCACACUGGAACUGAGACACGGUCCAGACUCCUACGGGAGGCAGCAGUGGGGAAUAUUGCACAAUGGGGGAAACCCUGAUGCAGCCAUGCCGCGUGUGUGAAGAAGGCCUUCGGGUUGUAAAGCACUUUCAGCGAGGAGGAAAGGAGUAGGUUUAAUAAACCUGCUCUGUGACGUUACUCGCAGAAGAAGCACCGGCUAACUUCGUGCCAGCAGCCGCGGUAAUACGAGGGGUGCAAGCGUUAAUCGGAAUUACUGGGCGUAAAGCGUGCGUAGGUGGUUUGUUAAGCAAGAUGUGAAAGCCCUGGGCUCAACCUGGGAACUGCAUUUUGAACUGGCAAACUAGAGUUUUGUAGANGGUAGUGGAAUUUCCAGUGU
Molecule: ribosomal RNA, 679 nt
Filed under: uncultured marine bacterium
Lineage: Bacteria
Description: bacterial SSU rRNA
Rfam family: Bacterial small subunit ribosomal RNA
Source: RNAcentral